Molecule: ribosomal RNA, 1241 nt
Filed under: metagenome
Description: bacterial LSU rRNA
Rfam family: Bacterial large subunit ribosomal RNA
Source: RNAcentral
CGAUGACGAGACGCUAAGGCGUUGAAGCAGUGUAUGUCAGACUUCCAAGAAAAGCUCGCAAUGUCACAAAUAAAAGAUGCCUGUACCAUAACCGACACAGGUGGGUAGGUAGAGUAUACUAAGGGGCGCGAGGUAACUCUCUCUAAGGAACUCGGCAAAAUGACUCCGUAACUUCGGGAGAAGGAGUGCCUUAUUUAUAAGGUUGCAAUAACAAGAUCCAAGCAACUGUUUAUCAAAAACACAGGUCUCCGCUAAGUCGUAAGACGAUGUAUGGGGGCUGACGCCUGCCCAGUGCCAGAAGGUUAAAGAAGUUGGUUAGUGUAUGCGAAGCUGAUGACUGAAGCCCUGGUGAACGGCGGCUGUAACUAUAACGGUCCUAAGGUAGCGAAAUUCCUUGUCGGGUAAGUUCCGACCCGCACGAAAGGCGUAAUGAUUUGGAUACUGUCUCGGAGAGAGGCUCGGUGAAAUAGACUUGUCUGUGAAGAUGCGGACUACCUGCACCAGGACAGAAAGACCCUAUGAAGCUUUACUGUAACUUGAAAUUGGAAUUGGACUUUGCUUGCGCAGUAUAGGUGGGAAGCGUUGAAAAUAUUCUUGCGGGAGUAUUGGAGCUAUCAGUGAGAUACCACUCUUGUAAUGUUAGAUUUCUAACUUUGAACCAUAAUCUGGUCAAAGAACAGUUUCAGGUGGGCAGUUUGACUGGGGCGGUCGCCUCCCAAAUGGUAACGGAGGCGUACAAAGGUUUCCUCUGAACGGAUAGAGAUCGUAUCUAGAGUGUAAAGGCAUAAGGAAGCUUGACUGUGAGACCUACAAGUCGAGCAGGGACGAAAGUCGGUCUUAGUGAUCUGACGGUACUGAGUGGAAAGGCCGUCACUCAACGGAUAAAAGUUACUCUAGGAUAACAGGCUGAUCUCCCCCAAGAGUUCACAUCGACGGGGAGGUUUGGCACCUCGAUGUCGGCUCAUCGCAUCCUGGGGCGGUAGUACGUCCCAAGGGUUGGGCUGUUCGCCCAUGAAAGCGGUACGCGAGCUGGGUUCAGAACGUCGUGAGACAGUUCGGUCCAUAUCCGGUGUAGGCGCUAGAAUAUUGAGAGGAGCCUUCUUUAGUACGAGAGGACCGAGAAGGACACACCGCUGGUGUACCAGUUAUCGUGCCAACGGUAAACGCUGGGUAGCUAUGUGUGGAGUGGAUAACCGCUGAAAGCAUCUAAGUGGGAAGCCCACCUCGAGAUGAGUAUUCCC